Molecule: ribosomal RNA, 478 nt
Filed under: uncultured bacterium
Lineage: Bacteria
Description: partial 16S ribosomal RNA
Rfam family: Bacterial small subunit ribosomal RNA
Source: RNAcentral
GACGAACGCUGGCGGCGUGCCUAACACAUGCAAGUCGAGCGAGUGGAGUUCUUCGGAACAAAGCUAGCGGCGGACGGGUGAGUAACACGUGGGCAACCUGCCUCAUAGAGGGGAAUAGCCUCCCGAAAGGGAGAUUAAUACCGCAUAAGAUUGUAGCUUCGCAUGAAGUAGCAAUUAAAGGAGCAAUCCGCUAUGAGAUGGGCCCGCGGCGCAUUAGCUAGUUGGUGAGGUAACGGCUCACCAAGGCGACGAUGCGUAGCCGACCUGAGAGGGUGAUCGGCCACAUUGGGACUGAGACACGGCCCAGACUCCUACGGGAGGCAGCAGUGGGGAAUAUUGCACAAUGGGGGAAACCCUGAUGCAGCAACGCCGCGUGAGUGAUGGCGGCCUUCGGGUUGUAAAGCUCUGUCUUCAGGGACGAUAAUGACGGUACCUGAGGAGGAAGCCACGGCUAACUACGUGCCAGCCGCCGCUGUAA